GAUGAACGCUGGCGGCGUGCCUAAUACAUGCAAGUCGAGCGAACGGACGAGAAGCUUUCUUCUCUGAUUUUAUCGGCGGACGGGUGAUUAACACGUGGAUAACCUACCUAUAAGACUGGGAUAACUUUGGAAAACCGGAGCUACUACCGGAUAAUAUUUUGAACCUCAUUGUUCAAACGUUAAAGACGGUCUUGCUGUCACUUAUAGCUUGAUCCGCGCUGCAUUAGCUAGUUGGUAAGGUAACGGCUUACCAAGGCAACGAUGCAUAGCCGACCUGAGAGGGAGAACGGACACACGGGAAGAGAGAAACGGCCCAGACACCGACGGGAGGCAGCAGUAGGGAAUCUUACGCAAGGGGCGAGAGCCUGACGGAGCAAAGCGGCGUGAGGGAUGAAGGUCUUCGGAUGGGAAAACGCUGUAAUUAGGGAAGAAGAAAUGUGUAAGUAACUGUGAAGAUAAUGACGGUACCGAAUCAGAAAGCCACGGCUAACUACGUG
RNAcentral lists this ribosomal RNA (497 nucleotides) under uncultured bacterium. RNAcentral describes it as "partial 16S ribosomal RNA". It matches the Rfam family "Bacterial small subunit ribosomal RNA", at positions 28 to 507 of the family's 1533-position model. The record is from RNAcentral.